AUUGAACGCUGGCGGCGUGCUUAACACAUGCAAGUCGAUCGGUAACGCGGGGGCAACCCUGGCGACGAGAGGCGGACGGGUGAGGAACGCUUGGGAAUCUGCCUAUCAGCGGGGGACAACCCGGGGAAACUCGGGCUAAUACCGCAUACGCUCUACGGAGGAAAGCCGGGGACCGCAAGGCCUGGCACUGAUAGAUGAGCCCAAGUCGGAUUAGCUAGUUGGCGGGGUAACGGCCCACCAAGGCGACGAUCCGUAGCUGGUCUGAGAGGACGAUCAGCCACACUGGGACUGAGACACGGACCAGACUCCUACGGGAGGCAGCAGUGGGGAAUAUUGGACAAUGGGGGAAACCCUGAUCCAGCGACGCCGCGUGGGUGAAGAAGGCCUGCGGGUUGUAAAGCCCUUUCGGUAGGGACGAAAGCUCUCGACCUAACACGUCGGGAGGUUGACUUAACCUACAAAAGAAGCACCGGCUAACUCUGUGCCAGCAGCCGCCGUAA
This 500-nucleotide ribosomal RNA is filed under the name uncultured bacterium. Its description in RNAcentral is "partial 16S ribosomal RNA". It matches the Rfam family "Bacterial small subunit ribosomal RNA", at positions 29 to 523 of the family's 1533-position model. The record is from RNAcentral.